UUGGACCAAGUGAUCUCCAAGGGCUGACCAGAUUCAGAAGUUGUCUAUUCCAUGAGCCUAGAGAUAAGAUACAUGCAUGCCAUCUGCGGGCUGUGCUUCCAACCAUUCAGUAGGUGAGACUCAGGGCCCUUUUGAGCUGUGGAGGAGAAAAGCAUGAGCACCUUCCAAGAUGUUUCGCCACUGGAUCUGCAUCAGCCUCCUGGAAUUGGGACACUCACCCAGGACACACUAUGGUGCUUCAGCCAAGUGAAAGGCACUAUCGAGAUUGGAACCACAGAAGGCUCGGACCAUGGUGCAGUCCCACUGGCUCCCCUGCCCCCCUCUCCUGUGAGACUGGCUGCGGGGAGGGAUCAUGGAUACUUGUCUGCCGGCUUCUGGUUCCCACGCAAGUAAGCCUGCUGUCAAUGGAGGAGGACAUUGAUACCCGCAAAAUCAACAACAGUUUCCUGCGCGACCACAGCUAUGCGACCGAAGCUGACAUUAUCUCUACGGUAGAAUUCAACCACACGGGAGAAUUACUAGCGACAGGGG
RNAcentral lists this non-coding RNA (531 nucleotides) under Pan troglodytes (chimpanzee). Lineage: Eukaryota; Metazoa; Chordata; Mammalia; Primates; Hominidae. The record is from RNAcentral. RNAcentral also lists the same sequence under 1 other name.